CCUGCACAGUGCCGAGGCCGGCCAGGCGAAGUUGGGCAGCAGCGGCGAGGAGGGGCGGCGUUGCUGCUGCUGCUGCUCCCUCUUCCCAGUAUGCCGGCGUCUCCCGAGUUGCCUCGGCGGCGACGGCAAGCGGGCGGCCGGCAGCGGCAGCCGAAGAAGCGCGUGUGAGCGACCGGAGAGCUCCUCUCCACUCACAAGGAUGCUGGGGGGCGAUGCCUGGCGGCAGGGAGGACGAGAUUUGCCAGAAAGCGCUGAAGCUGCUGGUCGAGCUCUGCUCCGACGGGACGGUGGAGAACGACCGCUGCCUCGAGUUCAACUACUACCUGCGGGACAGCGGCAGACCCCGGCCCACAGACUCCGAUAUCACAGUGAGUUUACUGUCCUUAGUUGUCACAGCAUGUGGACUUGCUUUGUUUGGGGUGUCUCUGUUUGUGUCCUGGAAGCUGUGCUGGGUUCCUUGGCGAGAACGUGGCCUGCCUGGAAACAAAGACAAGCAGGAGUCCCUGAACUAUACAGACACAGAGACCAAUGACCACGAGUAUAGCGAGGAUUACUUGGGACAACCUACCACCUACCCCGACUCUUCCAUGAAGAUUAGCCACACAUCCCCUGACAUCCCUUUGGACGCUAAGGCAGGGACCAAGGAAAACUGUGUGCAUAAUGUCCGGAUGCAUCGACAGAUCACGGAGCCAACUCCUUCUGCACGGCAUAAUUCAUUCCGAAGGCAGCUCAAUCUCUCCAACCCAGACUUCAACAUCCAGCAGAUCCAAAAGCAGGAGCAGCUGACAGGGAUUGGGCGCAUCAAGCCUGAGCUGUAUAAACAAAGAUCGGUGGACACAGAUGAUGGGAGGAGGAACAAUAGCAAAUCUUGUGGGAAGCUCAACUUUAUUGUGAAAUACGAUUGUGACUUGGAGCAACUGAUAGUGAAGAUUCACAAAGCUGUCAACCUGCCAGCAAAGGACUUCUCUGGGACUUCAGACCCCUAUGUCAAGAUCUACUUACUUCCAGAUAGGAAAACAAAACACCAGACUAAAGUGCAUAGAAAGACCCUAAACCCAGUGUUUGAUGAAGUUUUUUUAUUUCCUGUUCCUUACAAUGAUUUGAGCACGAGGAAACUCCACUUCUCUGUAUAUGACUUUGACCGAUUCUCCAGGCAUGACUUGAUUGGCCAAGUGAUAGUGGAUAAUUUUUUAGAGUUGUCAGACUUCCCCAGGGAGUGUAAUCUUUGGAAGGAUAUUGAAUAUGUCACCAAUGACAAAGUGGAUCUUGGCGAGUUGAUGUUUUCACUUUGCUAUCUUCCAACUGCUGGUAGACUAACUAUUACUAUAAUAAAAGCUAGAAAUUUGAAGGCCAUGGACAUAACAGGAGCAUCAGAUCCCUACGUGAAGGUUUCACUGAUGUGUGAAGGGAGACGAUUGAAGAAGAGGAAGACUUCCACUAAGCGGAACACCCUUAAUCCUGUUUAUAAUGAAGCCAUAGUCUUUGAUGUCCCUCCAGAAAACAUUGACCAAAUUAACUUGUUUAUAGCCGUUAUGGAUUAUGACCGUGUAGGUCACAAUGAGGUCAUUGGAGUCUGUCAAGUAGGCAACGAUGCGGAAAGCCUUGGGCGAGACCACUGGAACGAAAUGCUCUCCUACCCUCGGAAGCCCAUCGCUCACUGGCAUUUGCUUGCAGAGGGCCCUAUUCCACAGAAAUGUUAUGCGGGCCUUCUGCGCAUGGAUGGCUGCCGAAGAGGCUUCCUCACUCUUUUAACCUAUUCAGCAGAAAUUUGGCAUUCCUGUUGAACCCUUUCUUAGCCAUUUUCUCAGGGGCCAUUCCGCAGAGUGUCCAAAGGGCUCUGAUCCUAAAUGGUUUGAAAAAUCUGAGCCCCUGGUCAUCUCCCUUUGGGGAAGGCCGAAUAAACUGUAGUCCAAUUAGCAAAUCUUGGAGAGAGACUUUCAACACAGCAGCAACACCUCAUCUGGAGAAAAACAAACAAACAAACCACUAAAGCACUUUUUACAUGGUAUGCGGAGAUUGUUAUAAACCAAAAUGUGAAAUGACUAUCAGGCCCUUAAUGGAAAAUACGUAGACCAAUACAUCUUUGCUACCUUUCUUGAGGGUGAGGAGUUGGGUAUUUUUGUCAAUCUGAAAAGCCAGUGCAUAGAAUGUUCGAUAUUAAUAAUGGGCAUCACUAAGUAAAAAAGAAAAAUCAAAAAUACAGUUGUAAGCCACAGUCAUUCUGCUAUUGGGAGCACUGUCUAGUCAUUAAAAAAACUUAGAUGAAAUAUUUAUAUUCUGUUUGUGAAUCCAUAUUAAGUUGUCAAAUAACUGUUCCAAGUUUGUAGAAUAAAUCAUUUCCAUAACCAUCACUUAAUCUUGUCCUGUUAACCAUAUAUACUUCAAGUUGGCAUCUGCAAUGUAUUAUUAUUUAAAUCUUGCAUAGUAAUAUAAUAGAAUUCAGAUUUUUGGGUUGGGUUCAAUUCGGCCUUCCUUUUCAGAUUGGACCAAAACAGUUCUGGGAUGUUGGGGAGCUGGGGAUCUGUAUUUUUCUUGCUUUCUGGCAUGCUUGGGUACAACUGCGCAUGCUUGCAAAAGCAUCCAAGUCUGAAACAUGAAUUACUCCAAGCCUUUCCUAUCGCCUACUGUUGCCUUGUUUUCUUUGGUAAAAAUGCCAACAGCAGAAAGAGUUUGUAGCUCUUUCCUAGCCCACUACCUUCCUGACGGUAUCAUGAGGAUUUCCACACAGCACACGUGAAGCCGCAUACUUCAAAUUAGUAUAUUUUAACAAAGCCCAUUCUAAAACAGGAAUAGUUAAGAACAAUAAAAGCAGUAAGAAUUGCAAAUUAAUUUUACUCCCGUCAUUUCCUCUAGCUAUAUAUUUUUUCCUGAAUAAGAGAAGAAAAUAAUGACAAUUAUAGAAAACUCAUAGUUUCCAAUAUGAUACUGGGCAAGGUUCAACUAAGUUCUUGCAUGCACAGAAUGAGGACUGAUCACAGAAUGGGACUUUCCCCCUUCUCCUCACCUGCAUGGACCUCCUAAAUUUGCUCUGAAGGAUUGAGGAACCUCCAGAACAAUAUUAGGGCACAGGGGAGGAGAUGGGGGGCAGUCCCACUGCGUGAGCUGGCCUCAUUCCCCACAUGUCUACCCCACUUAGCACCAACUUGAAUUCCACCCAUUGGAUGGAAUUAGAUAUCUAUGCAAUUGGUUCCUUUUACAGCAGGCCAUAUGAAAUACAGAAACUGUAACGAAUUGUGCUGAAAUGCAUUGCAAUUUAAAGCAAACUAAAGGAGCAUUUUUUCUUACACCAUAUUCAGGCGCAGUAUCUAGGAUCAUAAGUCACAGAUACGUUUUUUAAAAGAUUAAUUCAUGCAUCAUGUAGCCUCCUCAUAGCCCUCAAGUACAGAACAGGCUAUUUCCAUCCUGUGACUGUUUCACAUAUAUGGAAUGGGUCUGUGUAUCAUUUACGUAUAGAUGUUUGCCUCUUUUUAAGGAACCCUAAUAAAUAUACAUGUACUUACAAGGUUUCUUUGAUGGCUUCUUUCUUUCUUUUUUAAGAUUUUACAGCUCCUGAGAGCAGGAAGCAAGUCCCUCAUGGCCACACAGGUAAAAAUGUUUACACAGAAAAAGAUAGCUGGGGGCAGCCAACUUUUUCUAUGUACAACUCCCCAGGAAGGGACUGCAUGGUAUGGUGUACAGUCACUUCUUGGGAGCUUUUUUAAAGGCUUUUUAACCUGCACAGCCACAGUGGACUUAAUAGCUGAUCAAAGCAGCUGUAAAAGGUUUAAAAAGAAAGAAGGCAGCCCUCAGACCAUCUCGUAAGCACUGUUGCCAUAUCCAGGUGUGUAUCAGUUUGUAGAUUAUGUGGACAAUUGCAUAUAUCUACAUUCUAAUCAACACAAGGGCUGGGGGUGGGGUGGAAUGGUUAGGUUUGCUUUUAAAAAUCCGAAUGAAGUUCCUCCCACCUCCCACCUUGAUGAACAUUUUGGGAAUUUUCUGGCUCCCUCUGCUGCUACAUGUCAAAUUCCCAGGUGAAAAUACAGAACGCUUCUCCCCGUUGGGAUUACUUGAGAGGUAUAUUCAUUGUUCUUUGCAGAAGUAUUAACUGAGUUGUGAGAACUAUAGUCACAGAAUUAAGCUGCACGGAGUGUCCCAUAAUAAUUAGCAUUGGUAAAUAUUACUUGAGCUUGUCCUCACACCUGAAAUCUCACCCUACGUCCAUGUUAAAUUUAACGUUGACAUUAACCAUGGAAGGGUUUGGGACCCAAGACAGGAGUUCAGCCUUCAAAUUCUUUUUUCCCCAUUUGCAGUGAGCAUGCAUAAAAGUCCUUAAAAGUGGGAUGAAUCAUGCCAUCAUUGAAAGCACUGGAGAUUAUAGCAGCACUUCUGAAAUAUUAGAGGGUAGGGAGAGACGGCAAGCCUACCUAAACUGCAGGAAACCAGGCUAAAGGAAUCAGUGGGAUACUUAUUUUGGAGCUAUCUUUUUCUCAGUGCUCAGUAUUCAGGAACACUUAGAAGUACAGCCUUUUUAAUAUAUAUAUAUAUUAUGGCUAAUGAAUGGGGAAGGGAGAAAAGUUAAAAGUAGGCAUAACUUAAAUUGGACCAAAGCAGCCAGAAACAUCCUGAGUUAUCACAGUGUUCUUUCGUUCUGUCAAGAGCAAUGUACUAUAAAAUGACUGUACCUUAGAGUAAAAUUGGAAAAGUAAUGGCAGUGGUAUUCAUAAGGAAAGAAUUCUGCCAUACAGUCCAUUUUUUAAAAAAAAUAGCUGCUUCUGUGAAAAACCACAACAGAAUAAUACUACAUA
RNA transcript from Podarcis muralis (Common wall lizard), 4784 nucleotides. It is a transcript of the gene named synaptotagmin 9, with no coding region annotated. Lineage: Eukaryota; Metazoa; Chordata; Lepidosauria; Squamata; Lacertidae. The record is from RefSeq and is a predicted model, not a curated record.